UGGUUGAUCCUGCCGGAGGCUACCGCUAUUGGAGUUCGAUUAAGCCAUGCGAGUCGCGAGAAAUUAGAUUCUCGGCGUACCGCUCAGUAACACGUGGGUAACCUGCCCUAUGCUGGAUAAUAACCUCGGGAAACUGAGAAUAAUGAUCCAUAGUUCACUACGCCUGGAACGGUGAGUGGAUGAAAGCUCCGGCGGCAUAGGAUGGGCCUGCGGCGUAUCAGGUUGUAGGGGGUGUAACGUACCCUCUAGCCCUCUACGCGUACGGGUGUUGGGAGACAUAGCCCGGAGAUGGAUUCUGAGACACGAAUCCAGACCCUACGGGGUGCAGCAGGCGCGAAAACUUGGCAAUGCGAGAAAUCGUGACCAGGGAACUCCAAGUGCAUGGGGUAAGACCCAUGCUUUUCUUGACUCUAAAUAGGUCUUGGAAUAAGGGGUGGGUAAGGACGGUGCCAGCCGCCGCGGUAAUACCGGCGCCUCAAGUGGUAGUCGCUUUUAUUGGGCCUAAAACGUCCGUAGCCGGUCUGAUACAUUCGUGGGUAAAUCAACCAGCUUAACUGGUUGAAUUCUGCGAGGACGGUCAGACUUGGGACCGGGAGAGGUGUGGGGUACGCUCAGGGUAGGGGUAAAAUCCUGUCAUCCUGAGCGGACCACCUGUUGCGAAGGCGCCACACUAGAACGGAUCCGACGGUCAGGGACGAAGCCUAGGGGCACGAACCGGAUUAGAUACCCGGGUAGUCCUAGGUGUAAACGCUGUGGACUUGAUGUUGGGGGUGCUCCGAGCACUCUCAGUGUCGAAGCGAAGGUGAUAAGUCCACUGCCUGGGAAGUACGGUCGCAAGGCUGAAACUUAAAGGAAUUGGCGGGGGAGCACCGCAACCUGAGGAUUGUGCGGUUUAAUUGGAUUCAACGCCGG
This 912-nucleotide ribosomal RNA is filed under the name uncultured marine archaeon. RNAcentral describes it as "bacterial SSU rRNA". It matches the Rfam family "Archaeal small subunit ribosomal RNA", at positions 5 to 921 of the family's 1478-position model. The record is from RNAcentral.